AGAUCAGCCCUGGGGUUCAGAGGGAUCCUGACGGCUACUCCUCAAGAUCCUCUCUGUUGUGAUUCAUCCCCCCCAGGCCCUACAGUUUCUCCUUCCUGACUCUUACAUUUCUUUGGAUGGCAUCACUAUUUACCUGUCUCCUCCCAUAGUUAGUUGCCAAGCACUGUGGAUUCUACCCCUCAGGGUCCAGACACCCAUUUUCCUUCCCACUGUUCCCUCCCCAUGGAGAAGCCUGUGGCUGACUGACAGCUCAACUUGGAGAAGGUGUUACCUGGGCCAGGUGGGGAAGGUAGGGUUGUUUGCAGAGCAAAGAAGUGAAGAUCCUCAUGUGACAGGUGACCUGCCAUAUAAUCAGAAGGAAGAAGUGUUACACAGAGAGGCUGAGAAGAAUCUGAGGACUUGCUAAGUUUUCCCCAGUUUAUUACCAUUAGAUCAUAUGCCUUUUUUGUUCAAUCAUACUUCUAUACAACUGUCCAUCAUUCAUUAAACCUAACACAAAAGUAGUUUUCACUCGGUUUUUGAGUGAAGGCUCCUGUGUCACAUAAAACUUACAUUAAAUAAAUUUGUUCCACUUUU
RNAcentral lists this non-coding RNA (576 nucleotides) under Pongo abelii (Sumatran orangutan). Lineage: Eukaryota; Metazoa; Chordata; Mammalia; Primates; Hominidae. The record is from RNAcentral.